This 1438-nucleotide ribosomal RNA is filed under the name uncultured organism. RNAcentral's name for it is "SSU rRNA". It matches the Rfam family "Bacterial small subunit ribosomal RNA". The record is from RNAcentral.
CACAUGCAAGUCGAGGGGCAGCAUGGCCUUAGCUUGCUAAGGCCGAUGGCGACCGGCGCACGGGUGAGUAACGCGUAUCCAACCUGCCUUACACUCUUGGACAGCCUUCUGAAAGGGAGAUUAAUACAAGAUGUUAUCAUGAGUAAGCAUUUUCGCAUGAUUAAAGGUUUACCGGUGUAAGAUGGGGAUGCGUUCCAUUAGAUAGUAGGCGGGGUAACGGCCCACCUAGUCUUCGAUGGAUAGGGGUUCUGAGAGGAAGGUCCCCCACAUUGGAACUGAGACACGGUCCAAACUCCUACGGGAGGCAGCAGUGAGGAAUAUUGGUCAAUGGACGAGAGUCUGAACCAGCCAAGUAGCGUGAAGGAUGAAGGUUCUAUGGAUUGUAAACUUCUUUUAUACGGGAAUAAACGAAUCCACGCGUGGAUUUUUGCAUGUACCGUAUGAAUAAGGAUCGGCUAACUCCGUGCCAGCAGCCGCGGUAAUACGGAGGAUCCGAGCGUUAUCCGGAUUUAUUGGGUUUAAAGGGAGCGUAGAUGGGUUGUUAAGUCAGUUGUGAAAGUUUGCGGCUCAACCGUAAAAUUGCAAUUGAUACUGGCAGUCUUGAGUACAGUUGAGGUAGGCGGAAUUCGUGGUGUAGCGGUGAAAUGCUUAGAUAUCACGAAGAACUCCGAUUGCGAAGGCAGCUUACUAACCUGUAACUGACAUUGAUGCUCGAAAGUGUGGGUAUCAAACAGGAUUAGAUACCCUGGUAGUCCACACGGUAAACGAUGAAUACUCGCUGUAGGCGAUAUACAGUCUGCGGCCAAGCGAAAGCAUUAAGUAUUCCACCUGGGGAGUACGCCGGCAACGGUGAAACUCAAAGGAAUUGACGGGGGCCCGCACAAGCGGAGGAACAUGUGGUUUAAUUCGAUGAUACGCGAGGAACCUUACCCGGGCUUAAAUUGCAACCGAAUAUGGCGGAAACGCUAUAGCUAGCAAUAGCGGUUGUGAAGGUGCUGCAUGGUUGUCGUCAGCUCGUGCCGUGAGGUGUCGGCUUAAGUGCCAUAACGAGCGCAACCCUUGCCGAUAGUUACUAACAGGUCAUGCUGAGGACUCUGUCGGGACUGCCAUCGUAAGAUGUGAGGAAGGUGGGGAUGACGUCAAAUCAGCACGGCCCUUACGUCCGGGGCUACACACGUGUUACAAUGGGGGGUACAGAGGGCUGCUACCACGCAAGUGGAUGCCAAUCCCAAAAACCUCUCUCAGUUCGGAUUGAAGUCUGCAACCCGACUUCAUGAAGCUGGAUUCGCUAGUAAUCGCGCAUCAGCCACGGCGCGGUGAAUACGUUCCCGGGCCUUGUACACACCGCCCGUCAAGCCAUGGGAGCCGGGGGUACCUGAAGUGCGUAACCGCAAGGAGCGCCCUAGGGUAAAACUGGUGACUGGGGCUAAGUCAUAAC